This 222-nucleotide unclassified non-coding RNA is filed under the name uncultured Fusarium. RNAcentral describes it as "partial contains 18S rRNA, ITS1 and 5.8S rRNA". Lineage: Eukaryota; Fungi; Ascomycota; Sordariomycetes; Hypocreales; Nectriaceae. The record is from RNAcentral.
AAGUCGUAACAACGUCUCCGUUGGUGACCAGCGGAGGGAUCAUUACCGAGUUUACAACUCCCAAACCCCUGUGAACAUACCACUUGUUGCCUCGGCGGAUCAGCCCGCUCCCGGUAAAACGGGACGGCCCGCCAGAGGACCCCUAAACUCUGUUUCUAUAUGUAACUUCUGAGUAAAACCAUAAAUAAAUCAAAACUUUCAACAACGGAUCUCUUGGUUCUG